RNAcentral lists this ribosomal RNA (308 nucleotides) under uncultured bacterium. Its description in RNAcentral is "partial 16S ribosomal RNA". It matches the Rfam family "Bacterial small subunit ribosomal RNA", at positions 505 to 807 of the family's 1533-position model. The record is from RNAcentral.
GAGACAGCAGCAGCCGCGGGAAUACAGAGGGUGCGAGCGUUAAUCGGAUUUACUGGGCGUAAAGCGUGCGUAGGCGGCUUCUUAAGUCGGAUGUGAAAUCCCUGAGCUUAACUUAGGAAUUGCAUUCGAUACUGGGAAGCUAGAGUAUGGGAGAGGAUGGUAGAAUUCCAGGUGUAGCGGUGAAAUGCGUAGAGAUCUGGAGGAAUACCGAUGGCGAAGGCAGCCAUCUGGCCUAAUACUGACGCUGAGGUACGAAAGCAUGGGGAGCAAACAGGAUUAGAUACCCGAGUAGUCCCUGUCUCUUAUAC